GUCCCUCCCAACCCAAACCAUUCUAAGAUUCCAUGAUACCUCAGCUGUGAGUUACUGGCAGUGCAGGUGUCCAACGGGAUGAAUCCCACCUUGACCUCAGGAUUAUUUAGUCAGGUGAUGAACGAGAGCACCAGGAGAGCCUUCAGCAGCUGCUCACAGCCAUUGCCUCUUCUCUGGUAGACCCCUGCUUCAAACAUUAGAUUUGAAGUGCUGCAGGGCAGGGACUGUCUCUCGCUAUGUGCACACACGGUGCUCAGGACAAGGAACCUUUCCACUUCCUUGGAACUGGCAACUGCUAAGGCAUAAUCAUAAAUAAUAGGGAAGGUCUUGAAAGGCAAAAUGACAGCAGGCUGACUGAGAGGGGCCGGGAGGGUUCUGAAAAAGUUUUGAAAGCUUUUUUUGGUUUGGUAAAUGAUUAAGAAAAAAGGACAUAUUAGCUGCUUCUAAGAAAUCAAUGAUUCUACUGGGGCUGUGAUACAGGAGCACUGAACUACAGUGGGAGGGUAAAAGAAAAGUCUGGCCAGGUAGAGUGUGAGAAGUUUAAGGAAAGUGAAUGCAAUUCCCUAAUUCACCUUUGCUCUUACAGAAACACAAGAAAAGGAACGUAGGUGAAAUCCCACGGGGCGGUUUAAAAGCCAUCCAUCAGCUCCCAGCACUGCUCGUGAAUCUCACUCACCCCAGUCCUAUGUGCACACACAGACCAUGAGAGAAGAGUGGGAAACUGUGAAUAUGAACUAGGACACAAUAAGGCAGAUAAGUGAUAAGGAAAGCCCAUAGUGGAUAAUCCAUGGUCAGCGCUGCUAAGAACACGAGGAUGACCAAUAAAUAAUUGUUUAAUGUGUUGUUAGAGAACAUACAGAGAUAUCCAAACACACAUUUGUAGUCCCUAAUAAUGUAUUAGCCUCCUGUAGAUGAACAAGGAGAUAAAGAAGGAAGGGAAUCUCGGAUAUUUCUGGAUAACUACUGCUAACAUUUGUAAUAAAUCUCCAAGUGAUGAUGGAAAACAAGAGAAUGCCAAAUAGGUUAGGAAUCCACUGUGUUGUUAAAGAGCAAAUGGAUAACUGUAAAUCUGUUAUCUGGCCCAAAAGGGAAUUGGAUGAUACAAGACUUAACCCACAGAGCAUGGAAAAGUUGUAAUAUAAUUAGUGGUAGUAACCACAGUUCUAUGGAAAACUAAUUUCAUGCAAUUUUUAAAUGAGAUUGUUAAACAGAGGUGAUAAAAGUGAUGUCGGUACAGCAUUUUUAGUCAGAAUAUAAAGAAAAAGAGGGAAUAAAGAAUUCAAAAUGGUCAUAUUUAGGAUCAGCAUAGUACAAAAGGAAUACACGGGGAGUUGACAACUCUCCAGUGUCACUCUGCCGAGCAACUGCCAUCAAACAAGGCUGUCUGUAACUGGAACUCCCUGAAAUCAUCUCAGUGCUAUUUAACUGUCCUACCAACAGCCAAAAAAACUCCACCACAUCAUUACUGAGAGAGCCUGAAGGAUGUGGAAACAACAGAGGGGUGAGAGUGAAGGACACGGACAGGACAGCACAAAGAGAGGGGUCAGGAUGUCACCACCCAAAGCCACCUCCAUGCCCCAGGUGCCAAGCCAGGCUUGUGGGAGUGACAGGAGCUGUCUCAAGGCUCCAGGAGGAUGUGGGGAUUUGGGACUGACCCCCAGGAUGUGAAUGCUGAGCACAGCAGGGCUGGAGAGUGAGCCCAAAGGAGGGGGAAUAACACAGCACUCAGCACAGGGGAGGACUGAUGCCUGAGGUUUGAGCUUUUAAAUUUUCAGAUUCUGUGCUGCUUUAGUGUGUGGGUCUGAGCUUCACAUCAGGGGAUGGUGAGCUCUCUGCACAGAGCAGGGAGACAAAACAAUUCCUGCUCCAGCUGGGCACCAAGGACAAAUGAUCCAAAUCUCAGCCCCAGGAGCACAAACAAGGUGGGCUGGAGAGAGAAAAACAAGCAGGAUGGGAGUGCAUGGGCUAAAGCUGGAAUGGGACAAUGAACUGCAAGGUGCAAAUGGAGCAGAGCUGAUCCCAGUGAGAGCCCCCGGGAGCGCUCGUGCAUUUUGGGACCAUUUUGGUUGAUCUUGGGUGCAGCCCUGGCUGGGCUCUGGUGCUGCCCAAGGUGGAUCCAUGGAGGAGAUCCUUUGAAUAAAUCCCUGCUUUAUUCUUUA
Vidua macroura (Pin-tailed whydah) is the source of this 2159-nucleotide long non-coding RNA. RefSeq lists it as uncharacterized. NCBI's taxonomy places the organism in Eukaryota, Metazoa, Chordata, Aves, Passeriformes, Viduidae. The transcript is spliced from 3 exons. The record is from RefSeq and is a predicted model, not a curated record.